RNA transcript from Brassica napus (rape), 2018 nucleotides. It is a transcript of the gene named L-galactose dehydrogenase, with no coding region annotated. NCBI's taxonomy places the organism in Eukaryota, Viridiplantae, Streptophyta, Magnoliopsida, Brassicales, Brassicaceae. The record is from RefSeq and is a predicted model, not a curated record. The transcript has 7 exons.
UAUCGACUUGUAUUCUCUUCUCGACCAUAUCUAUCUCCCCAGUUGCAUCAGUUUUGUCUGAGAGAGCACCACUUUUGUGUCGAUCUUUUCUAGCGAUGUCGAUUCCUCAGGCCAAGAUGGAGCUUCGUCCUCUGGGAAACACAGGCCUCAAAGUUAGCUCAGUUGGCUUCGGCGCCUCUCCGCUCGGAAGCGUCUUCGGUCCAGUCGCCGAAGUUGAUGCCGUCGCCACCGUACGCGAAGCGUUCCGACAAGGCAUUAACUUCUUCGACACUUCCCCGUAUUAUGGAGGAACACUAUCGGAGAAGAUGCUUGGUAAAGGACUCAAGGCACUACAAGUCCCUAGAAGCGACUACAUUGUUGCAACCAAGUGUGGACGUUACGAAGAAGGUUUCGACUUCAGCGCCGAGAGAGUAACAAAGAGCAUCGACGAGAGCUUGGAGAGGCUUCAGCUAGACUACGUUGACAUACUUCAUUGCCACGACAUUGAGUUCGGGUCUCUUGACCAGAUUGUGAGUGAAACGAUCCCUGCGCUCCAGAAACUGAAACGUGAAGGGAAGACACGGUUCAUCGGUAUCACUGGUCUCCCGUUGGAUAUUUUCACUUAUGUUCUUGAUCGAGUGCCUCCAGGGACGGUCGAUGUGAUACUAUCGUACUGCCAUUACGGUGUGAAUGAUUCGACGUUGGUGGAUUUGAUACCUUACUUGAAAGGGAAAGGUGUGGGUGUGAUUAGUGCUUCUCCGUUAGCAAUGGGUCUUCUUACGGAACAAGGUGGUCCUGAAUGGCAUCCUGCUUCCCCUGAGCUCAAGUCUGCUUGCAAAGCCGCUGCUGCUCAUUGUAAAUCAAAGGGUAAGAAGAUCACAAAGUUGGCGUUGCAGUACAGUUUGGCAAACAAGGAGAUUUCAUCAGUGUUGGUUGGAAUGAGCUCUGUCUCACAGGUAGAAGAAAAUGUUGCAGCAGUUAGAGAGCUUGAAGAUUUGGGUAUGGAUCAAGAAACUCUCUCUGAGGUUGAAGCUAUUCUCGAGCCUGUCAAGAAUCAGACAUGGCCAAGUGGAGUCGAUCAGAAGUAGAAGCUCUUUUGCUGUGUUUGUUCACAUUUACUUCUUGGAAUGCUUUGAUGUGUCGUCGAGCACAUGGUGAGAUUAUGGGGAAGAUAUUACAACACAAAAAAAUAGACUGUAGAAUGUAUGAUAACGAAGUGUGAACAAGUUUUUGAGGAAGUAACCGAAGGAAAACUCUGGAAAGAAGGAAGAGAAUAAUAAAAGAAACUCCAAAACAAAAGCAAACGCUUUGAUUGCAUCACCACCGAUGCUUCCUCUCAUCUCUAGAACCGUGUCGAAUGUUCCAUUCCACCAAAGCAUUUGAUUCCUAAACGUCUUUUAUAUCUCUCUUUUUCUUCGCCGCUUUGUAAAAGUUAACUUUGUGUGUACUUUCAAGAUUAUUCUCAAAUUCUCCUCCACACAUUCUUCUUUCCCAAAACAUACAUUGUUAUUUUUUUUAUCAACUUGUAUAAGAAACAUCCUCGAAGGAAGCUGUGGUCUUUGGCAAAUAUAAACACACAAGCUCAUAUUUGUGCUCUAAAGAUCUUCGUCAGUCUUCUCUCUCUCUCUGUCUACUAUUAUUUUCCUUCGUUUCCCAACGCAAAAUCUACAGUUUAUUAGUCUUUUUCAGUGAUUUGAUCGCUUCUCUAGCAAAAAUAUGAGUGAUCCAAAGUAUGCUUACCCUUACCCUGCACCGGGAAACUACCCUCAUGGCCCGCCGCCUCCAGUUGGAGUACCACCGCAGUACUAUGCUCCACCACCGCCCCCGCCACCGCCGCCAAGAAAGAAACCUGGUUUCCUUGAAGGACUACUUGCGGCUAUGUGUUGUUGCUGCCUUGUGGAUGAAUGUUGCUGCGACCCGACCAUUAUAUGCAUUGAUUGAACUUCUUUAAAAAGAAAUUUAGAUCUCUCUUUGUGUGUGUGUGUUUUUUUUUUUGGUUAUGAUGAGAUUUAUGUAAUAAAAUUUUAUACCCCUUCAAA